This is a non-coding RNA of Gossypium raimondii (Peruvian cotton), 145 nucleotides long. The record is from Rfam. Lineage: Eukaryota; Viridiplantae; Streptophyta; Magnoliopsida; Malvales; Malvaceae.
AAUUAAAAAAUUUAUUCAUUUCUACUAUUAAACAUUGGUAUGGCUAAUAGAAUAACCAGACAGAUACAAGUGGUGUGCCCUGUGUACUUUAUUCUGACUUAUAGAUAUCAACUUUUAAUCGUAGAAAUCGAUGGGAUUUUUAACA